RNAcentral lists this ribosomal RNA (255 nucleotides) under uncultured bacterium. RNAcentral describes it as "partial 16S ribosomal RNA". The record is from RNAcentral.
CUGCUGCCUCCCGUAGGAGCCUGGGCCGUGUCUCAGUCCCAAUGUGGCCGUUCACCCUCUCAGGCCGGCUACUGAUCGUCGCCUUGGUGGGCUUUUACCUCACCAACUAGCUAAUCAGACGCGGAACCAUCGUAUACCACCGGAGUUUUUCACACUGCUUCAUGCGAAGCUGUGCGCUUAUGCGGUAUUAGCACCUAUUUCUAAGUGUUAUCCCCCAGUAUACGGCAGGUUUUCCACGCGUUACUCACCCGUCCG